AGAGUUUAGGUUAACAGUUAGACCAAGGGCCUUCAAAGCCCUAAGUGAAGGAUAAUACCCUUCAACUCUU
This 70-nucleotide transfer RNA is filed under the name Petroscirtes breviceps (striped poison-fang blenny mimic). RNAcentral describes it as "tRNA-Trp". It matches the Rfam family "tRNA". Rfam says of the family: Transfer RNA (tRNA) molecules are approximately 80 nucleotides in length. Their secondary structure includes four short double-helical elements and three loops (D, anti-codon, and T loops). Lineage: Eukaryota; Metazoa; Chordata; Actinopteri; Blenniiformes; Blenniidae. The record is from RNAcentral.